UUCUUUCCAAUCAAUCCGUUGGGCUAUCUCUACUCCUAAUGGAGCAGUUGGUAGUCUCGCUUCCAGGUUUUUUUAGUCCCACCUUCCAUGGUUUUUUGGUACCUCCUCCCAUCUCUGACUUAGCCAUCACAAACCGAAAAAACCUCGUGCUAAGGCCCCAACCCGCACCCAUGCAUGUACGACAAAAAAAGACCUAUGAAGAUUAACCAACAAAAAAAGACCCAUGAAGGUUAACCAGCGACAAAAAAACCUAAACCUUUCAUCCCUUCACCGCCGCGCUUCACUCCCCGCCCUCCAUCCGCGCUGAACAUGUCCAGGAUCCGCCGCCGCCCUCGCAAAUCCAUCCCUUCGCCGCCACCCUCGCGCUCGCAUCAAGGAUCGAGGCCUCCAGAGUAUCCUCGAUCCCCGCAUUACCCAUUCGCCGCCGCCGAUCCCACCGCCGCGGGAGAGGAUGAUCUGAUCUCCAUGGCCAGAUGAGGGAGGAAUAGGGGUGACGGGAUGGAUUUGGAUCUCAAGGUGGGGAGGCCAACGUAGUCGCCCCUAGCGCGUCGAGCAAAAGCGAAGGAUUUGGAUCUCAUGGAUUUGGCUGCGUCGACCAGCAAAGGACCGCCGCCGGCUCGGCUCCUCCACCACGAAUCAACCUCCUUCCACCCCGUAGCCGCCGCCCAAAACCCUAGCAAUCGAGCCCCACCCAUGGCGCCCUAGGUGGUACAGCGGCCAGAGGAGAGGAGAGGAGAGGAGGUGGAGCAGCCAUCGCCUGGACGUGAGGUGAGCUUCCCCCAUCCAAUCUUAUCUACCCCACCCCCAGGUGGCUCACAAUAUCUAUCACCUGCAGCAGCAUCUUGUGCAUGCAUCCAUUGAGGACGUGAGGUGCACACCACAUUUUGGUUCAGUUUUCCCUUCUUUAUUAUAAUUAUGCCAAGGACAUCUUAUGCCUUACAGUAGUAUUCAGAUUCUCAAGUUUGUUUAUUUAUUUUUAGUGCAAUACUGCUCUCCUGUCUGCAGGAGAUUGGAGGAAAAAAUAUCAGAUAUCGGAAACAUGACGUUUUGGUUUAGUUCUGGAUCAUUUUCUUUUUUGGUUCAGUUUAUAUAAGUGGUUGUUGUUUUAUGUUGCACACGCGCCCACCAUCGGCCACCAAUGCAUCGUACACAUCACAUGGGCCUACCUGACCAAAGUGCAUGCAAAGUUGCAAGGCCCAUCUCAGCAACGUCUCCUGAUAGUCACGCACGCACAGCCGACCAGGCAUCAACUCCUUUAGUCCCACCUCGCUAGACGGAUGGGAUGAUUCAGAUCUGCUGCCUAUAUAAGAGGGUACCACUUCUAAAAUCCUAGCACAAAUACUUGGCGUGGUACAUCGGUACAAAACUGAAAACCAUACCGAAUAUUCGGUUAGCUAGUUUUAGCUAACAUUUUCGGUUUCCAGUUUUACAAACCGAAAUUUAAUAAACGCCGAACAGUAGAAACCGAAUUUUCGGUUUAUACCGAACGCCCAGCCCUAGGCCAGAGGCUGCUCACCAUAUACAUCGCCAUCCAUAGCCGCUCUCGUCCGCCAAGAAGCUGAGGAGGGAGGCUGACCUCCAGUGACCACUCUGCACCGCUCUGGACGACACCCUCCCCCACCAGGUUCAUCCUCCUAAUUCGUUUUAAUAAAAAUAAAAAUAACAAAGAACCCUUUGGAGAUCCCUGCCCAUGAGUCUGGUUUUUAGAUGACAAAUAUAAUCACAAUUUUAAAAUAAAAGGAUGUGUCAAAGUUCGGAUGCGCUGAAAUUAUUAGAGCUUGGGUACCUAUCUUGAUCAAAAGUCAAAAACUUUCAAUUAACUGAACGAAUUUAUGGGUCAUCAAUAUGGUUACAUGAUACCUUACACAUGAUUUUAGUUUUCAAGUCUACACUUGAAUUGAAUAUUUCAAGUAAGAGUUGAGUAUGUAACAGUAAAAAAAAUCCUAUUUCGUAAAAGAUAAAUCUCAAGAGUCGAUUUAUAUUAAAACUAGAGAGCACGGCCGGCCCGACGGAGCUGAGAGCGCACGCUCUCCAAACCAGAGGGGCAGAAAUAAGGCAGAUGGUGCGAGACGGGAGUUGUGCUACACAUCAAUCUCUACUCCUAAUGGAGCAGUUGGGAGGAAUAGGGGUGACGGGAUGGAUUUGGAUCUGAAGGUGGGGAGGCCAACGUAGUCGCCCCUAGUGCGUCGAGCAAAAGCAAAGGAUUUGGAUCUCAUGGAUUUGGCUGCGUCGACCAGCAAAGGACCGCCGCCGGCUCGGCUCCUCCACCACGAAGCAACCUCCUUCCACCCCGUAGCCGCCGCCCAAAACCCUAGCAAUCGAGCCCCACCCAUUGCACCCUAGGUGGUACAGCGGCCAGAGGAGAGGAGAUGAGAGGAGAGGAGGUGGAGCAGCCAUCGCCUGGACGUGAGGUGAGCUUCCCCCAUCCAAUCUUAUCUACCCCACCCCCAGGUGGCUCACAAUAUCUAUCACCUGCAGCAGCAUCUUGUGCAUGCAUCCAUUGAGGACGUGAGGUGCACACCACAUUUUGGUUCAGUUUUUCCCUUCUUUAUUAUAAUUAUGCCAAGGACAUCUUAUGCCUUACAGUAGUAUUCAGAUUCUCAAGUUUGUUUAUUUAUUUUUAGUGCAAUACUGCUCUCAUGUCUGCAGGAGAUUGGAGGAAAAAAUAUCAGAAAUCGGAAACAUGACGUUUUGGUUCAGUUCUGGAUCAUUUUCUUUUUUGGUUCAGUUUAUAUAAGUGGUUGUUGUUUUAUGUUGCUGCUAGCUAUCAGAAAACGAGUUCAUAGUAGGUUUCCAUCCUUACAAUUCAUUUUGUGUUGCUCUGAACUGAAAAAAGAGGGAAUACUGUUGUGCCUAGCUUGAAGUUCACAGUAGGUUUGGCAUCAAUCGAGCAAACAUUGUUACAGUUAUUAGUGGCUGUUGUAUGUAUUACAUUUUUGCUUUUUCUAAAACCACAUGUAUCCUAUAAUCUGAUUGCUUUUCUUUGUGUGAGCAGUAGUUUCUGAGCUUUCCCUCCACUAUUUUUUCCUCUCUCUCUCUUUCUCUCUCUCACUCAAUCUCAACUUGGCAAGCGAUGGCGGCGGUGAAUGGGCAGCGUGGGCGUCUAGCAGGAUCAUGGGGGAGCAGGGGAGGCCAGAGGCUGCUCACCAUAUACAUCGCCAUCCAUAGCCGCUCUCGUCCGCCAAGAAGCUGAGGAGGGAGGCUGACCUCCAGUGACCACUCUGCACCACUCUGGACGACACCCUCCCCCACCAGAGAGAAAGUGCAAAAGCUAUGGGCAAUCCUAUAUGACUGGCGCCAUCAGUAAGGAUUUCUUUUAAGCUAGCUUACUUUUGGGUCUAAGUCGAGUUUAUUUCUUUUGCAGAUUUAUUCACCUUAUUGGGACGGUGGGGUUAAUAUAUAUACAUCAAUUUUGAGCAUCGGCAACGCAUGAAGCUUGCUUCUGAGGCUGCAACAUACUUUGCAAUCCCCCUGUGAAACAUACUCUUGUCACUAUGCACAUAUGGUUAUUCGAACGAAUUGAUUUCCAUUAGACUAUGUUUUUCCUAAUUACUUGUUAUAUGAUGUUCUUUACUAUUCAGAGGUUGUUGAAGGGAGAUGGGGCUCUUCAGGCCCCUUUGGUGCAAAAGCACAAGCAGCAUCUACAGCUGACCACUCAUAGCCUAGGAUGUCCUGCAGAUUUGAUCUAUUUUGGAUAGAGCACAUGGAAUCAAACCACGGGUAAUCAAUUUGCUAUAUUCAUGUGAUUAGCUAUGAGGAAUUUAUUACCUCUGUUUUAUUUGCGGGAUACCCAAGCAGUGCGUACAAAUUGUAGUGGUGCUUGUAGCUUAUCAUCAAUCUGCCAUUAUUAUUUGUGUGUAUGUGUUCAAAACGACCACUCUAGGGAUUCUUGAUUUGCUCCUGGCUGCACCGUUGGGUUUCCCGCGACUUUGUUUCGUUUGAGUUCUGUUGUUCAUACCAGUCUAAUUCGCCAACAUCAGAUUUCUAAUAAUGCUUUCAACCUGGACAGUCUGAUGUGAGCAAGUUUCUUGCCCUAUCCAUGCGUCAACCAACAAUUUCUUGAUCCAGGUGCCCCAUGCCCUAUAGGGAAGCAGAAGGGCAUCAACAUCAGUGCCAGCCGCCCCAAUGUGGGAGGAAACAGGCGGAUGCACGCGAGUUGCUCGACGCCUUCUUCUUCUUGAAUAGUUGGGUGACCCGCCAUUAAACCACUAAUUUUGGCUUGCUCGUUCUCUCCAAGCCCAUUGACUAAUUAAUUUAGUUGAUUGUCUGUAGAAUUCAUGGUGGUGAUGGACCUUUAUCUGCCCAAUGUUCUCAUGCAACUAGCAGGUCGUCCAUGUUGUUCUUUAUGCAUUUAAAAAAUACUAAUUAAAGGGAAAGGCAUGAAUGUGUAAGUUUUUGCAGCAGUAGAUUCAGAGUGGGUUAAAAAAAUUAUACAAUUCUUCAACCUCUUAAUAAUUAUGCAAUCAUCUCCUUGGAGUAGUGAGGAGGGCAUGCGUCAGAGACCUGUCGAUAGAGGGAGUGCAGGUUUGUGUUUCAUAAGGGGGAUAGUUGUGAGCAAUGCAUACAUCUAGGUUUUCUAUUUUUAUUUUAGAGACAAACUUAGUUGUGGGAUUGCCGUGUUAGUUUUUCAAAACGAAAAAUUAAGUGAUGAUCAUGUUUUAUCAACAUAGGUGUAGAGAUAACUUUAAUGAGUAAACAAAUAAUUUUCAUGCAGGCCAGUUCUGAUGUGUGUUGAAUAGCUCAAUUUUGUUUUGAUCUUCUACGUUUAGUCAUUGUUUGCUCUAGCAUCAACACUAACUGUCACACCCACGCCGCCCCAUGGACGACCCUGACCGAGGUGCGGGUCGGUGCUUGCCGUGGGUGCAUCCGCAGCGGUGCAGUGGCCUGCACUCAUCGAAAGCUUUGAAGCUUGGGAAAGCCACAAAACCAGAUGUUCCCCUCAACCUGAAGAUGUGAACUAUGCUGCUUCUCCCCGUAUGUGUAUUGCUUCCGCUGGAUGAUGCUCUAUUGUCGUUGUUGCCUCAGCCCUCCCAAUUGUCGUUUUCUCCCCUUCUCUUGCUGCUCAAUGAGGUUGAUCAUGCUGCUAGCUUUUAAUUCUAUGGAGUCUCUCUAUCUCUGCCUAUGAUAAAUUCAGUAUCGGUCAACACACAUGUUUGUACCAAUCCAAGCCCUGUUGAUGAUAUAGUUUGGACUUGUAAUGAUCUGACUAUGUAUACCUUUUAUGGGAUUAAUGAUCUGACUAUGUAUACGACGAGGGCGCCAUCCCCUCUCCCUCGCCGCGUCACACCUUUGUGCCCGUUGUAGAUGACGAGGGCGCAUGGGUUCGGUGCUGAUGUGGCGACGGUAGGGGUUGUCAUCAGAGAAGGAGGCCAACUAUGUCGUGGCAGGGAGAGGAGGAUGUGGGUGACACUAUUGAGAGAAGGUAGGCUAUGGGGACAACAUGGGACGGGCUUGAUAAGAGGGGGAGGAGAGAUGGUGGGGGAGGAGGGGGUCGGUCGACGCCGUGAAGCGGAGAGGAGGAUGCGCUACACCGUCGAUGGAAGGGCGGCGGCAGGGAAACGCGUGGAUGCGAGGGGAGAGAGUUCCGCGUGAAGCCAAAUAUUCAGAUGUUGGCAACACUGUUUGAUAGCAUGCUUGGGGCGACUUGGUAAGUACGGUCUCUUGUCCAUUGCUGUCAUGAUUUAUGGUUUCUAAUAGCUAUCACUUGUAGAUUUAUUUUCUAUAUCUUCUAUAUGCAUCCAUCAACCGAAAUAUAUUGUACAUUCAGCAACAAACAUGCAUGGUGUGUGUAUGUUUUAGACCCUAUCCAUACAUCAUAGUCGCCAGAGAUUAAAACUCUGAAGCAUUUAGUGAAAUUAUAAAGAUUUGCGAGGUAAUUCGACGACGCACUCAAAAUUGCGCAACUCGGCUGAAAUUCUGACAUAUCUAGAUGACAAAGUAUAUUUCUGGUUAGUAUUCCAAUGAGCAUGGAUGGAUACAUUUAUAUAUUUCAUUACCAUAACAUUCAAGAUACACGCAUUUAUAAUUGUUAUCACAGUAUUCAAGAUAACAUUAAUUUGGAAAUUACAGGGAUGUGUUUGGCUAUUUUUGUUUUUAAUUUUAUGCUCUCAUGAAAUAAUAAAGAAUUGGUUCAUCUGGUUUGCACGUUGAGUAUUCUCCUUGCAUAUUUUUAGACCUUUCACAUAAAAUAUUUGUACUAGCUAGAUAUAUUGCUUGUGCAGGUGGUUAUGAGUUGAGUAAGAAGUUAUUAUUAUAUUUGCUCAAUAUCGUGCGAAUGAAGCUAAAGACAACAUUGACAUUGUGCAAGAAUAUCUUAAGCCCAUCAAUCAGAUCUUAAUUUGUAACAGAUUAAUAGUUGGAUCAUUGAUUUCUAUGCAUACAUCAUUUAGUUACCUUUUUUUAUCAAAUUACAUUACAAGGGAAGUGGACUUCAAUUAUUAUCCGAUUGUUACUAGCUAUCUUUUUCAAUAGAUGAAAAUUUCACAUGCAUUAUGUUCAUAUAACUUCUGUAAAAUAUUUCAAAAGCCCAUAGCAACGCACGGGCAUUUUAUUAGAGGGUGAGGUCUAUGGGGAAGUAAGGUGUGGUGAGGGUGAGGUCGGCAUAUCUAACCAGUUCCAAAGGAGGGGGCUCUAGCAAGAAGUGUCCCACUACGACAUGAAACCGAGCAGAAAGGGGAGGGUUUGACAGAAAAAGAGAAGGGUGCGUGUGGGAUAAGACAUAUUCCUUUUUAGGUUGAUUAGGAUCUAUUUUCGUCCUGGGCCUUUUUGUUAGGUUGAUUAAGAUCAAUUUUUGUCCUACGCAAUUGUGGUAUGCACUUGAGAGGGAUCUAUUUUCAUCAUGUGCCUUUUGGGUUGAUUAGGAUCUAUUUUCUGUCCUAUGCCUUUUAGUUUUUUUACUCGCACCAUGAUGGUAGAUUCAACAUGAGAUCAAAAGUUUCAUGUGAAGGAAACUGUUCAAAUAUUGGCAACUUUGUUUGAUAGUUGGCCUGGGAUAGACAAUAUCUCACCGUGCAUGAUGGUAAGUAUGGUCUUUUGUCCGUUGUUGUCAUGGUUUAUUGUUGUUUCAAAUAGCUAUCACUUGUACAUUCAUUUUUUGUAUGCAUUCAUCGGAUGAUACAUCUUGUACGUCACCGACAAAGAUGCACUCUUCUAUAUAUUCCGGUCCCUAUUCAUACAUCAUAGUCGCCAGAGUGUAAAACUCGAAGGCAUUUAGUGAAAUUAAAAGGUUUUGUGAGGGAAUUCAAAGAAGCACUCGAAAUAAAGCAACCCGGCUAGAAUUCCAGAUGGUAACAUUUGUAUUCCAACAAGCAUAUAGGGGUAACAAAUUUAGUUGGAUCGUUGCUCUAUAUGUAUACAUAGUCAAUUUUCCCUUUUGUUACAUUGCAAGUGAAGUGGACUUCAAUUAUUAUGCAAUUGUGUGUGUGUGUUAUAUUGUCUCUACAUGUGAAAUUUAACUCCACCAAAAUAUUUUAAAAGCCCGUGACAACGCACAUGCAAUCUACUAGAAUUUGAGGCAUGCAUUGAAAUUAAAAAGUUUUGCAAGGGAUUUCAAAGAAGCACUCGAAAUAAAGCUGCUUGGUUGGAAUUCCAAUAUAUCUAAAUGGCGACGUUUAUUUCCAUUUCGUAUUCCAACGUGUAUAGACCGGUGCAUGAAUUCAUAAUAAAAACAUUUAUUUUUGUUAUCACUACAUUCUUUAUAUUAUCAAUUUAAAAAAUUGCAGGAACGUGUCUGGCUAUUUUGUUUUCCAUUUUAUGCUUUGGUGGAAUGCUAAAGAAUUGGUCAAGCCGGUUUGCGCGACGAGUAUUGUCUUUACAUGUUUUAAGACUUUCGGCGUGAAAUUUUCAUACUAACUACAUAUAUUGUUUGUGCAGGAUGUGUAUGAGUUGAGGAAGCAGUUUUUAUUAUACUUGCUAAAACAUCGUGGGAAUGAAGCUAAAGACAACUUUCUUGAUAUUGUGAAAGAAUUUCUUAAACACAUCAUCCAGAUAUUGAUAGUUUUGUAAUAGAUGUUUAGUUGGAACAUUGCUCAGUUUGUUACAUGGACAUGUUGUUAAUCUUU
Molecule: long non-coding RNA, 8060 nt
Organism: Triticum urartu
Lineage: Eukaryota; Viridiplantae; Streptophyta; Magnoliopsida; Poales; Poaceae
Source: RefSeq, a predicted model, not a curated record